ACGGAGGGUGCAAGCGUUAAUCGGAAUUACUGGGCGUAAAGCGUGCGUAGGCGGCUCGUUAAGUCAGAUGUGAAAGCCCUGGGCUCAACCUGGGAACGGCAUUUGAAACUGGCGAGCUAGAGUUUAGGAGAGGAGAGUGGAAUUUCAGGUGUAGCGGUGAAAUGCGUAGAGAUCUGAAGGAACACCAGUGGCGAAGGCGACUCUCUGGCCUAAAACUGACGCUGAGGUACGAAAGCGUGGGUAGCAAACAGG
RNAcentral lists this ribosomal RNA (252 nucleotides) under uncultured bacterium. RNAcentral's name for it is "partial 16S ribosomal RNA". It matches the Rfam family "Bacterial small subunit ribosomal RNA", at positions 525 to 776 of the family's 1533-position model. The record is from RNAcentral.